UUGGGCAAGUGGAUAGUCGCUUCGUCUUUGUGACGGAGAGGAAAGUCCGGACAUCUCUUAGUUUUUACUAGGAAAAGUGACAGUCGUUAACAGCGACCAGGGGCAACCCUAGGGAAAGUGCCGCAGAGACUAUACUAAUCUGCCUUAGGCAGAUGAAAUGUGAAAAGUAGGUUGGUGUUUUUUAUUCUUAAGAUAAAAAGCUACAACUUUCGUCCUCUGGUGACAGAGUGUACGUGGUAAACCCUGUCUGAUGCAAGAUCGUGCCCCGAUGUACUUUGGGGAGAAUCGCUAGAGGUCAAUAGCAAUAUUGAUCCCAGAUAGAUGACUAUCAUUAGACUUGUUGCAUAAUAGGCUAUUACUGCAAUCUCCAUAUUUUGGUAAAUUUCUCUGUAAAAUUGUUGGCCUAUGCUAAGGCAUAAGCAAAAAAUUUUACAGAGAAAUUUCCUCAAAAUCUGGAAAUUUCGUAACAUAGCCUAUUAUGCAACAAGUCUAUUAGACAAAAUCCGGCUUAUAGCUUGCCUGAACUA
RNAcentral lists this RNase P RNA (527 nucleotides) under Candidatus Falkowiibacteriota bacterium. RNAcentral's name for it is "RNase P RNA component class A". It matches the Rfam family "Bacterial RNase P class A". Rfam says of the family: Ribonuclease P (RNase P) is a ubiquitous endoribonuclease, found in archaea, bacteria and eukarya as well as chloroplasts and mitochondria. Lineage: Bacteria; Candidatus Falkowiibacteriota. The record is from RNAcentral.